Drosophila biarmipes is the source of this 511-nucleotide long non-coding RNA. RefSeq lists it as uncharacterized. The transcript is spliced from 2 exons. The record is from RefSeq and is a predicted model, not a curated record. NCBI's taxonomy places the organism in Eukaryota, Metazoa, Arthropoda, Insecta, Diptera, Drosophilidae.
UAAUCUAUGUCAAAUUGGACCCAUCAAGUGCCAACUGUCAAAAUAUUCAAAAACCGACACUUUUCGUCUAGACUUGGGCAGCCGCAGGCCCAGUUGGUCAUACUUCUGGGCCAAUUAUCAAUAUCUGAGCAGGAACUGGAGCAGGUUCCAGCCAGGACCCCGAACUGGAGCAGCUAUAAUUAUGACAUAUGAUGGCACCGAUGCAGGGACCGACCCAUGUCAAAAAGUCCGUACAUACAGGCAUAAUUUGGACUGGAUCUCUGGACGUGGACGAGGGUCUUAGGGAUGCAUCGAUUAUGGAAAGCAUGGGAGAGGUGUCAUGAUUCUUCCUUUCCCCUCGAAGGAUCAUUAACUGUGCACAAAAGGAAGGAAAAAUAAUUCAACAACUUAUACGGAGUCAUAUUUUAGGAUUAAGGCAGUUAACUUUUAGAACUGUUAUUCAUGACGUUGUACUUCAUAUACUCUUAAGAUCAGGGUUUUUGGAUGUGAUUAAAUUAUCUAUAAUUCUGAC